GGUUGUGGCUCAGUGGUAGCAUGCUUGCCUAGCAUGCAUGAGGCACUGGGUUCAAUCCUCAGCACUCA
Molecule: transfer RNA, 68 nt
Filed under: Marmota monax (woodchuck)
Lineage: Eukaryota; Metazoa; Chordata; Mammalia; Rodentia; Sciuridae
Description: tRNA.Ala
Source: RNAcentral